CGUGACGUACGGCUCAGUAACACGUAGUCAACCUGCCCUGGAGACGCGGACAAACCCGGGAAACUGGGGCCUAUCCGCGAUAGAUGACUUCAUCUGGAAGGAGAGGUCGUCCAAAGGAAGCGCGAGUAUGCUUCGCGCAGUUCGCUCUAGGAUGGGACUGCGGCCGAUCAGGCUGUUGGCGGGGUAAUGGCCCACCAAACCUGUAACCGGUACGGGCUUUGAGAGAAGGAGCCCGGAGAUGGACACUGAGACAAGGGUCCAGGCCCUACGGGGCGCAUCAGGCGCGAAAACUUCGCAAUGCGCGAAAGCGUGACGAGGCUAGUCCGAGUGCUCUCCGCUGAGGAGGGCUUUUCUCGGCUGUAAAAAGGCCGGGGAGUAAGGGGAGGGCAAGUCUGGUGUCAGCCGCCGCGGUAAUACCAGCUCCUCGAGUGGUCGGGACGAUUAUUGGGCCUAAAGCACCCGUAGCCUGUUCGGUAAGUCCUCUGUUAAAUCCAGCUGCUCAACGGCUGUUCUGCAGGGGAUACUGCAGGACUAGGAGGCGGGAGAGUCGGACGGUACUCCGCGUGUAGGGGUAAAAUCCUUUGAUCCGCGGAAGACCACCAGUGGCGAAGNCGGUCCGCCAGAACGCGCUCGACGGUGAGGGGUGAAAGCUGGGGGAGCGAACCGGAUUAGAUACCCGGGUAGUCCCAGCCGUAAACGAUGCGAGCUAGAUGAUUCGAUCGCGGUUCGCGAUCGAAGUGUCGCAGGGAAGCCGUUAAGCUCGCCGCCUGGGGAGUACGGUCGCAAGGCUGAAUUUUGA
This 799-nucleotide ribosomal RNA is filed under the name uncultured soil archaeon. RNAcentral describes it as "bacterial SSU rRNA". It matches the Rfam family "Archaeal small subunit ribosomal RNA", at positions 77 to 859 of the family's 1478-position model. The record is from RNAcentral.